This 301-nucleotide ribosomal RNA is filed under the name uncultured bacterium. Its description in RNAcentral is "partial 16S ribosomal RNA". It matches the Rfam family "Bacterial small subunit ribosomal RNA", at positions 509 to 807 of the family's 1533-position model. The record is from RNAcentral.
CAGCAGCCGCGGUAAUACGGAGGGUGCAAGCGUUAAUCGGAAUUACUGGGCGUAAAGCGCACGCAGGCGGUCUGACAAGUCAGAUGUGAAAUCCCCGGGCUUAACCUGGGAACUGCAUUUGAAACUGUCAGGCUGGAGUCUUGUAGAGGGGGGUGGAAUUCCAGGUGUAGCGGUGAAAUGCGUAGAGAUCUGGAGGAAUACCGGUGGCGAAGGCGGCCCCCUGGACAAAGACUGACGCUCAGGUGCGAAAGCGUGGGGAGCAAACAGGAUUAAAUACCCGCGUAGUCCCUGUCUCUUAUAC